This is a long non-coding RNA of Saccostrea echinata, 836 nucleotides long. RefSeq lists it as uncharacterized. The record is from RefSeq and is a predicted model, not a curated record. NCBI's taxonomy places the organism in Eukaryota, Metazoa, Mollusca, Bivalvia, Ostreida, Ostreidae. The transcript has 2 exons.
GGAUAUCAAUUUAUGGAGACAGCAUCCAACAGCCCCCCCCCCCCCUUCAUCUGGAGGAUGCACACAAGGAUCUCUACUUAGACGGAACAUACACCAUAUGACAAAACAUCCAACAUACAUGUCCCUGGUCCAUACCCCUUCAGGAUCUCUACGUACAGACACAGAACAACCAAUAUGUGCCCCCCCCCGGAGGGCCAUACCCCUUCAGGAUCUCUACUUACAGACACAGAACAUCCAACAUGUGCCCCUUGGGCGAUGCCCCGCCGGAUCUUGUAGUAGAUGUCCCCGGGCUUUAGUCGAGUUUUCUCCAGAUUGAUUGCAUCAUACACUCCUCCUGUCAGACUUAGGAACGUCAACCACAGUUCAUCCUUGUCGUGGCAAUAGGAUAGGAGACGUAUACCCCCGCUGUUGGAGACACAGGGGACCGAAUCGUCAACGUAAAUGUCAACCCAGCGUCCGAACCUCCAUACUCUGCAGUGGACAACGCCCACAUAGAUUUCCUCCUUUUUGUAAAUCACUCGGGUUUUAUCGUUGGGUAUCAGCUGUUGGUUAAACAUUUACAAUCCCGAUGAAGUAUACAAGCAAAAACUGAUGACACAAUAGAAUUAUUAAAGUGCCCUCAAAUCAAUAUUUUUUUUAUAUACCUGUAGCUUUAAAAUCAUCAAUCACUACAUAGCAAAAUGCUUGAUAUUCCUAUGACAAAAUGCAUUUAAUACAAUGUACCAGGAUAUACCAUCCAAUUCAGAUCGUAUUUUGGGUGAAGCUACCCUCUUUUUUGUAUACUUGUCACCUCACCCCCUCUUUUUUUUUAACAAUAAAACUUUGGGUAAACUUGA